UAAAAUUGUCUUUUGGAAUCCAUAAAUAAACCAUUUUUGAAAUUUUCUUUUAAUCAUAUUACCACAAUUCAAAUUGCAGGCAGAGAAUUACCUGCUUAAUUUGUGACCUUCAUGGAGCUGAGGAAAUGCAUAUCACACCCAUCGCCUACAACGAAAGCUCCAGACAGCAGUUAUGCCAUUAAGAUGCAGAUAGCAAGAGACGACUUCUGAAUUUUACCCUUCUGUAAAUCCAUAGCAUACAAUAUAUAAGCAAUAUGGAUAAUAGGAUACUGCAAAUGAAUGGCAAGUGACAGAACUCAAAGUUACUUAUAGCCAAUGUUAGCAAAAGCUAUCAUAUAAAAUCCAGUAAAAACAGAAAGGAGAGCAUUUAUGAAUAUGCAUAGUGUUCUAAUGAAGAAUGUCAUUACUAUGCCCACCAUACUAACGAUGGCAACUAUCUUAUAUGAGUUUUAGGCAUUCGAGAAAAGAUUGGCAAGCCCACUGGGGCAUGAAUACAGAUAGGAGGUCAGAUUUCAGAAAGGUGAACAACAGAAAAAAUUGUCUUGAAACAUUAAAUGAUCCUAUAUGAGUUUUAAAGCAUUUUAAAUGCAGUGCAAUGUAAUAUCAUAAAGAAAGAAUUUAAGAAUGAGCACAUUGACAUUCUUUAGUUGAGACACUAAAAUAAAGUCUCUUGUUUUAAUAAUCAUUUCCUCCGACUACAGAGGUUAUAGAAAUGAAUAAAGGGUAUACAAUGAUCUAUCAAUUUUUUAAUAGGAUUAGACAUAAACAAGUCAACACCACAAUGUUCUUAAAUCUUGAAUAAAGGAGGCAUAGCUUAAAGACUAGUUUAAUCUCCUCAUGGAAAUUAGUUUGUCAUUGUUAUCACUGCAAAUCAGUCUGUAUAAGCAGACAAGUCUAAGGAAUUUUAAGCCUCAUAAUAACAUCACAAAUAAGUCACAUCAAUCCCAAUAUGUCUCUUGAUACGAAGCCCAUCUUCACAAUUCUGUGAUUGUUCUCCAAGUCUACUUCCACUUAUAAGAUCCAUUCCUCAACCCAGUUGAACUUAUUCUGGUAUAAUCAAUAUGUAAUUUCUUUAUUCAUUCUCACAAAAAUAACAAGCAUUUUUCAUAUAUCUCAGUAAUCCAUAAUCCAUGACAUUUCAUGUAGUCCAAUGUUCUUGUUUUAUUUCCAUUUCUAUGCAAGAAUAAACAAAACCUUAUAGCACCUAGCUUUUCUCCAACCGCUAAUCCAACAUCUACUUCUCGGAGGAAGGGUAAGCAUAACAAUCAUCGAAACCCUAAUUUUUCUUUUUCCGCAAGUGAAAUCCAAGAUUCUUUAAUUACAAGAUCAAGAUUUCUUGAGCCCUAAAACUUUCUUACAAGCAAAUUCCUAUAACGAACUACAGCGGAUGAAAACGGAAGCAAGCCCCAAGCAUCUCGAGUUGCAAGAAGGUCAUCAUUGAUCAGUUCGAAGGAAACAGCACAUAGCGAUCAAGAAUUCCUAUAACGAACUACGAUCAAUUAUUGAUCCCAAAAAAGUUUCUUACAAGCAAUUUCCUACGGUGAACCUCCAGGGGACGAACCGAAGCAGGCCCCAAGAAUCUUGAGUUGCAAGAAGAACAUCGCCGAUCAAGAAUUCCUAUAACUAACCACAACAAAGAUGACCAGCAAAUUUACAACAAUCUUGAGUUGCAAGAAGAUCAACGUGGAACGCAAAUGAUUCGUAUAAUCAUAACCCGCGAGCUACUUACCAUCAACAAUUCACGAGCGAUGGAAGAAACAUCUGAAGGAGGCGGAUCGAACCUUGAGGAUGGUUUGGAUCCACGUCCUAGUGAGAUCCCGCAACGGAAAAUGGGAAGGGGGCGGAGAAAAGUGGGGAGGAGAAGCAUUGUAAAACCCUAGGAGGAGAGUUCUUGAGAAUGGAGAUUAAGAUUUUGGUUUCUGCUCCGACGAAUCAGAUCACUCCCAUUUGGUUUCUGCUCCGCCGAAUCAGAUCACUCCCGCCGGUCCUCCCUCUUCGAGUCCUCNNNN
Molecule: long non-coding RNA, 2009 nt
Filed under: Musa acuminata (dwarf banana)
Lineage: Eukaryota; Viridiplantae; Streptophyta; Magnoliopsida; Zingiberales; Musaceae
Description: long non-coding RNA (MACU_LNC006646)
Source: RNAcentral